RNAcentral lists this small nuclear RNA (140 nucleotides) under Cebus imitator (Panamanian white-faced capuchin). RNAcentral describes it as "U4 spliceosomal RNA (ENSCCAG00000008670.1)". It matches the Rfam family "U4 spliceosomal RNA". From Rfam's summary of the family: U4 small nuclear RNA (U4 snRNA) is a component of the major U2-dependent spliceosome. The structure of U4 snRNA from yeast and human has been reported. Lineage: Eukaryota; Metazoa; Chordata; Mammalia; Primates; Cebidae. The record is from Rfam by way of RNAcentral.
AGCUUUGCGCCGUGGCAGUAUCGUAGCCAAUGAGGUUUAUCCAAGGCGCGAUUGUUGCUAAUUGAAAACUUUUCCCAAUACCCCCUGUGACGACUUGCAAUACAGUCGGCACUGCCAAUUUUUGACAGUCUCUAUGGAGA